AUCAUUGUCGAAACCUGCCCAGCAGAAUGACCAGCGAACAUGUUCACUACUCGGGCGUUGUCUGGAGCCUUGUGCACCCGCUCGUCCCGAGCCCCUUGCAAAAUAACAAAACCCGGCGCGAAAGCGUCAAGGAACAUAACUUCAAUGUGUGCCUUCCGGUGCGCGGUAAUUCCGUGCACGGUUGUGAUGCCAUGUACUAACAAUAAACGACUCUCGGCAACGGAUAUCUCGGCUCUCGCAUCGAUGAAGAACGUAGCGAAAUGCGAUACUUGGUGUGAAUUGCAGAAUCCCGUGAACCAUCGAGUUUUUGAACGCAAGUUGCGCCCAAAGCUUCUGGCUGAGGGCACGUCUGCCUGGGCGUCACGCAUCGCAUCUCCCCCACACCCACCUUUUGGGAAGGGGAAGGAGGAUGGCUUCCCAUGCCUCACCGGGCACGGUUGGCCUAAAAACGGAGCCUUAGGCAUGAGCUGCCGCGGCGAUAGGUGGUGAACAAGGCAUCUGCCAUGCAAGCAACCCGUCGCGCAGCACUUUGUCAUUGGAGCUCGAAGGACCUUGUGAGUUGUCUU
Molecule: ribosomal RNA, 566 nt
Filed under: Arenaria serpyllifolia
Lineage: Eukaryota; Viridiplantae; Streptophyta; Magnoliopsida; Caryophyllales; Caryophyllaceae
Description: eukaryotic LSU rRNA
Rfam family: 5.8S ribosomal RNA (bases 209-363)
Source: RNAcentral